RNAcentral lists this ribosomal RNA (391 nucleotides) under Sphingomonas sp. W15. RNAcentral describes it as "bacterial SSU rRNA". It matches the Rfam family "Bacterial small subunit ribosomal RNA", at positions 150 to 574 of the family's 1533-position model. Lineage: Bacteria; Pseudomonadati; Pseudomonadota; Alphaproteobacteria; Sphingomonadales; Sphingomonadaceae. The record is from RNAcentral.
UUACAAAUGACUGCUAAUACCGGNAUGAUGUCUUCGGACCAAAUAUUUAUCGGCAAAGGAUGAGCCCGCGUAGGAUUAGGUAGUUGGUGGGGUAAAGGCCUACCAAGCCGACGAUCCUUAGCUGGUCUGAGAGGAUGAUCAGCCACACUGGGACUGAGACACGGCCCAGACUCCUACGGGAGGCAGCAGUGGGGAAUAUUGGACAAUGGGCGCAAGCCUGAUCCAGCAAUGCCGCGUGAGUGAUGAAAGGCUUCCGGUUCGUAAACUCUUUUUCCAGGGAUGAUAAUGACAGUACCUGGAGAAUAAGCUCCGGCUAACUCCGUGCCAGCAGCCGCGGUAAUACGGAAGGAGCUAGCGUUGUUCGGAAUUACUGGGCGUAAAGCGCANGUAG